This is a long non-coding RNA of Acinonyx jubatus (cheetah), 564 nucleotides long. RefSeq lists it as uncharacterized. NCBI's taxonomy places the organism in Eukaryota, Metazoa, Chordata, Mammalia, Carnivora, Felidae. The record is from RefSeq and is a predicted model, not a curated record. The transcript has 3 exons.
UUAGCAGUCACUAUUACGGAAUAUUUUCUAUCUGACAGGUGCUGUGUGAGGAGCUUGACUUGAAAUAACGUCACUGAAACCUCACACUCUGCAAGUGUGGUUUAAAAAUGGAAAUAGAUUCUUAGAGCCUCUUGAUGACAUCUUGUUGGAAUAUAAGACAUAUUGCGUUGAGAUUUGUGAUCUGCAAGAAUUCCAUCUGCACGAUUCACCGGAGACAGUGCCACUGAUGAUGAUUCCAAAUGGUCUAUUCUGCUUAUUUAUUUACCUGCUUAAUAAUAGCAAAUUCAACUGAAAGGACAAUUUGAUUUGGAAGCUUCAGUCAAUUAUUCUAUUUCUUGGAAUGGCUUGUGUGGAACAAAGAGUGGUCCACAUUUUGUUUGAGGCAGUUAAUUUUAUUCUUCCUGAAUAUACUUCAGGGAUUUGUAAAGAAACCACUAUCCAAGGACCAUCUUACCAGGGCUCAUCAUUGGCUGAACCCAGCCAGAACCCAGAGGGUGUGGAAAUCCUGUUGAUGCAGAGGAUAAGUCAGACUUCCAAGAUAGAGAGCAGAGGGCAGAAGUUUGG